Long non-coding RNA from Amblyraja radiata (thorny skate), 90 nucleotides. RefSeq lists it as uncharacterized. Lineage: Eukaryota; Metazoa; Chordata; Chondrichthyes; Rajiformes; Rajidae. The record is from RefSeq and is a predicted model, not a curated record. The transcript is spliced from 3 exons.
GGAGAUUGCAACCUUCACGUGGUCAACCCUGUUUCGGCUAAUGCAAUCAUCCCGACCUGCACAAACAAAUAGAUCAAAUAGAACAAAUUG